GCCAGCGUGGCAUAAUGGUUUUAGUAUUAAACUACAACUCUGGAGACCAGGAUUCAAUUCCCUGCUCAACCA
This is a non-coding RNA of Phrynosoma platyrhinos (Desert horned lizard), 72 nucleotides long. The record is from the annotation of a GenBank genome assembly. NCBI's taxonomy places the organism in Eukaryota, Metazoa, Chordata, Lepidosauria, Squamata, Phrynosomatidae.